GAUGCUAACAGUGGGUUAGGUUGCGUUAAUUUUUACAUUUAAAAAAUAUUUUUAAAAAUUUUAUCUUAAUUUUAUUUUAAUAUAAUAGUAUUAAUAAUAAAUUUUAAAAAACAAAAAAAUAUUUUAAUAUAUUUUUAAAUAAAAAAUUCAUCAAAAAACAAUUAUUGUCACAGUUACCUUGAUUGAUACAAAAGCAAAGCAGGACAUCACUCUUCUGACAUGUUCACAGCAUCUUCUCAUGCCAUAAAUCAGGUCCCCUGCAGCUUCUAGCUGUCACCAAAAGCACUACUGCACCUCCUUCAAUCUUCACAUCUGAAAUUCUUGAGACUGGAGAGUCUCGGUAGAGAUGAGUGAUCCCAAGUAUGCUUAUCCAUACCCUGCUCAAGGUUAUUAUCAAGGACCUCCAGUGAUGCCACCUCCACAGUAUUAUGCUGCUCCACCACCUCGGAGAGAGCCUGGUUUCCUCGAGGGAUGCCUUGCAGCUUUGUGUUGUUGCUGCCUUAUUGACGAGUGUUGCUGCGACCCCUCCAUCCUCUUUAUUAGCUAACAGAGCCAUAUAUUAUGCUUCUUGCACGAAUAAUUAUAGUUUGGUGUGUGUUAUGAUAAUAGAGUGAAUGAACUCUGUUAUUUAUUACCCUGGAACAUUUUACUAUAUGUAUAUAAUAUGGUCUCCUCUUGAUCUUUCUUCGUCUA
Molecule: long non-coding RNA, 693 nt
Organism: Populus trichocarpa (black cottonwood)
Lineage: Eukaryota; Viridiplantae; Streptophyta; Magnoliopsida; Malpighiales; Salicaceae
Exons: 3
Source: RefSeq, a predicted model, not a curated record